RNAcentral lists this ribosomal RNA (497 nucleotides) under uncultured bacterium. RNAcentral's name for it is "partial 16S ribosomal RNA". It matches the Rfam family "Bacterial small subunit ribosomal RNA", at positions 28 to 507 of the family's 1533-position model. The record is from RNAcentral.
GAUGAACGCUGGCGGCGUGCCUAAUACAUGCAAGUCGAGCGAACGGACGAGAAGCUUGCUUCUCUGAUGUUAGCGGCGGACGGGUGAGUAACACGUGGAUAACCCACCUAUAAGACUGGGAUAACUUCGGGAAACCGGAGCUAAUACCGGAUAAUAUUUUGAACCGCAUGGUUCAAAAGUGAAAGACGGUCUUGCUGUCACUUAUAGAUGGAUCCGCGCUGCAUUAGCUAGUUGGUAAGGUAACGGCUUACCAAGGCAACGAUGCAUAGCCGACCUGAGAGGGUGAUCGGCCACACUGGAACUGAGACACGGUCCAGACUCCUACGGGAGGCAGCAGUAGGGAAUCUUCGGCAAUGGGCGAAAGCCUGACGGAGCAACGCCGCGUGAGUGAUGAAGGUCUUCGGAUCGUAAAACUCUGUUAUUGGGGAAGAACAUAUGUGUAAGUAACUGUGCACAUCUUGACGGUACCUAAUCAGAAAGCCACGGCUAACUACGUG